Molecule: ribosomal RNA, 273 nt
Filed under: uncultured bacterium
Lineage: Bacteria
Description: partial 16S ribosomal RNA
Rfam family: Bacterial small subunit ribosomal RNA
Source: RNAcentral
CCGCCGGCGACCGGCGCACGGGUGAGUAACACGUAUGCAACCUGGCCGUGACAGAUGGAUAACCGGGAGAAAUCCCGCCUAAUACAACAUAAUGCCGGGAGGGGACAUCCCCUGCCGGCCAAAGGGGGCGACCCCGGUCACGGAUGGGCAUGUGGCGCAUUAGGUAGUUGGUGGGGCAACGGCCCACCAAGCCGACGAUGCGUAGGGGUUCUGAGAGGAAGGUCCCCCACAUUGGAACUGAGACACGGUCCAAACUCCUACGGGAGGCAGCAG